CAACACUUCCUCUUAUUACUCUUCACUAACAUAUCAAAACAUACCAUACUUAAGGUUUUGGUAACAUUUACAAAACAUACCAAAAUAUCACUUAACAACUUAGAUACUUUCAAAAUGACCAAAAGACAUCCUAGGUACAAUGCAAUUUUCCAAAAAGAUAGAAACUUCACCAAUUUGAGUUCGGGGAUCGGCUUGUAUGCUGAGUCCUUAUACUUUCGUACCUAGACUGCGCACGGAAACAAACCAUAUGCUGAGAAUACUCUCAGUGGUAUUUCUAUAAACAAUAGCUUAAUCAACUUUAAAACAUGGUAAUUCAAACACAUUAUUGCUAUUAUUCAAUAUCAAUCAGUACUUUAAUAAUCUUUACUUUAUUUACCCUUAUUAACAUGACUCGGACACUAAUGGAUACACGGAUCCAACCCACACUCCGGGAUAAGCACAUAGUGCUUCAUCGAAACAAAUCUGGAACUUUAACAUUAUAGUACACAAAGUACUUCAUCGGAACAAAUCCGAAACUUUAACAGUAGUCGACACAUAGUGUCUCAUCGACUCAAUGCCGGAAUAUCCCAAUACUUCCAAUUCCUAUGACAUGUCAACUAUAUCCGACUAGCCCGACACUGUUAAUAGGGUAUUCAAAAUCACAUUCAUUUCAAUAUGGUAAAAAUACUUACCUCAUUCACAUUUUCAUACAAUAUAAAUAUUAAAUAUAACAAUAACGAUUAAGCUCGGUUUAUAGAAAUACAAACCACUAUUUAUCGAAUUUAAUCGAUAUCUUCGUUCACUUUCUCUUUUCUCUUCUUUGAUGACGUAUCCGGUGCUACGUUUGCUACUAACAAUCAUACAAUUAAAAAUCAUCAAUAUACUAAUUCAUAGAACACAUUUUCACUUUCUAUCAAACUUUUACAAAAAUUCCAAUUUCGUCCUUUUUCCAUUACUAAUCUUUUUUCUUUAACUUAAGCUUCAUAUUCUCUUUUAAUCAACUCAUUAAUAAUUUCUAACUCAUAAAAUUCAUUAUAAAACAUAAAUUUUGAGCUCUAUUCAACUUAAUCCCUAUUUAAACCUAACUUAGAAUUCUUUUAAUAAAUCACUCAAUUUUCACUUCUAACUUCAAUUUCUAUCAAUUUAACCCAUAAAACCUCAAUUUAUUCAACUAAAUCAAUAUCUAAAAAUUUUCUAUUUUUCUUCAUUUUAACCUCAUACAUGUAGAACUUUGAAUUAGGCAUCCAUAAACAUAAAAAUUAUAAGAAAAUAAGCUAAAACAUCUUACCAAUCAAGCUUUAGGGCUUUAAUCCUCAAAUUUCCCUUUUCUAUUUCUUUCUUUCUUUCUUUCUCACGUUUGCUCUCUGUAACUCUUUCUAUCUUUCUUUCUUUUUUUUUUACUUACUCAUAAAUCUAUAUUCAAUAUAAUAAUAUUAAUAAUAUAAUAUUAUUCUAAUAAAAUAACUUAAUCUAUAAGAAAAACUACUUUAACACAUUUAAUAUCUUUACCAACUAUUACACAUGUUAUAUCAUACAUUCACACACAUGGCACUUAGGGUCUAAUUGCUAGAUUAGUCCCUUUACCAAUCUUUAAUCUAUAAUUAAACUUUUAUACCGUAUGCAAUUUAGUCCUUUAAACUAAAUUCAAGCUACUUCACUUAAUUAAACACUAAAUAACCAUUCAACUAUAAUUCAUAAAUAUUUCUAAUAAAUAUUCAUGAAUUAAUUUCACGGAAACAGUACUCAAGACUCAAUUUUCGAUACCGUAACUUUCGGUUCAUUACAAUUCUCUCCCCCUUAAUAAAUUUCGUCCUCGAAAUUUACCUGAAAAGAGAUGGGGGUAUUGAGAUCUCAUCGUUUCUUAUGGUUCCCAUGUAGCUUCUUCAACACUGUGACUUCGCCAUAGCAUAUUUACUAAAGGAAUACGUUUAUUACGUAAUUCUUUUACCUCUCGUGCUAGAAUCUCAACUGGUUCUUCUUCAUACGAUAAGUCAGGUUGAAUCUCUACAUUCUCGGUCGUAAUAACAUGUGAAGGAUCGAUCGAUAUCUUCUUAGCAUAGAAACAUGGAAGAUAUCGUGCAUUUUCUGUAGUUCAGGAGGUAAGGCCAAUCGAUACGCUACUGGUCCAAUUCUCUCAAUAACUUCGUAAGGCUCAAUAAAACGAGGACUUAAUUUUCCUUUUUGACCAAAUCUUAGAAUUUUCUUCCAAGGUGAAACCUUUAAAAAUACUUUAUCCCCGACUGAGUAUUCAAUAUCCCGUCGUUUCAAAUCUGCAUACGAUUUCUGUCUAUCAAAAGCAGUUUUCAAUCUUUCCCGAAUUUUCUUAACUGUACUUUCCAUUUCUUGAACCAAUUCAGGUCCAAUCAUCUUCUUCUCAUUCAGUUCUGUCCAACAUACGGGUGAUCGGCAUCUUCGUCCAUACAAAGCCUCAUACGGUGCCAUCUGUAUACUUGACUAGAAACUAUUAUUAUAUAAAAAUUCGGCUAAUGACAAAUAAUAUUCCCAGUUAGACUCAAAAUCAAUCAUACAGGCUCGAAGCAUAUCUUCUAAAAUUUGUGUUACCCGUUCAGAUUGACCAUCAGUCUGUGGAUGAAAAGCUGUACUAAAGUGAAGUCGAGUACCGAAAGAUUCAUGUAAUUGCUUCCAAAACCUUGACGUAAACCUUGGAUCUCUGUUAGAAAUUACUGAUUUUGGAAUACCAUGUAAUCUAAUGAUUUCCUGAACAUAAACCUCAACAAGUUUCUUUAACGACCAAUCGGUUCUCACAGCUAAGAAAUGAGCUGACUUCGUAAGUCGAUCAACUAUUACCCAAAUAGCAUUCUUUUUACUUGUAGACGUCGGUAAUCUCGUUACAAAGUCUAUCAUUAUUCGGUCCCAUUUCCAUUCAGGAAUAUUGAUAGGUUGAAGUAAUCCUGAUGGAACUUGAUGUUCUGCCCUCACUCGUUGACAAGUCAAACACUUUGCCACAUAUUCAGUUAUAUCAUUUUUCAUUCCCGACCACCAAUACAAUUCACGCAAAUCACGAUACAUUUUCAUACCUCCAGGAUGAAAUGCAAAUGGACUAUUAUGAGCUUCUCGAAGAAUUAACUCUUUCAACUCAGAAUUAUCUGAAAUGCAAAGUUGAUUCUGAAAUCUUAGACAACCAUUUCCAUCAAUGCUAAAAUUUUCUGUUGUACCAUUCCGAAUCAUCUCCCUUUUCUUUAACAACUUAUCAUCUUCUAACUGUGCUGAUCUGAUUCGAUCAAACAUUACUGGCUUUAUUCUUAAUUCAGUCAAAAGACUUCCAUCUUCAGUGAUACUAAGUUGUGCAAACAUUGCUCGUAAUUCAAUCGCAGCUUUUCUACUCAGUGCGUCGGCUACUACAUUAGCCUUCCCUGGAUGAUAGUCUAUGACACAAUCAUAGUCUUUCAGAAGCUCUAUCCAACGCCUUUGUCUCAGAUUCAAUUCUUUUGCGAAAGCAGAUAUUUCAAACUUUUAUGAUUCGUAUAAACAUAGCACUUUUCACCAUAAAGAUAGUGCCUCCAAAUCUUCAAGGUAAAAAUUACAGCUGCUAAUUCUAAAUCAUGAGUUGGAUAGUUGCGUUCAUGCGGUUUCAGUUGCCGUGAAGCAUAAGCAAUGACUUUCCUGUUCUGCAUCAGUACACAUCCCAGUCCACUCAAUGAAGCAUCACUGUACACUACAAAAUCUCUUUCUGAUUCUGGUAAAGUCAACAUCGGUGCCUCUGUUAACAUUCGUUUUAAUGCUUCAAAACUUUUCUGACAUUGCUCAUUCCAAACAAAUGGAAUAUUCUUCUGUAGUAGCGUGGUCAUCGGUAAGGCUAUCUUUGAAAAUUCGUUGACGAAUCUUCGAUAGUAACCAGUUAAUCCGAGAAAACUUCGUACCUCUGAUACAUUCUUAGGAACUUUCCACAGAAUAACUGCUUCAAUCUUCUUUGGAUCCACUCUAAUUCCAUCCGCUGAUACGACAUGUCCAAGAAACACAACUUCUGAUAACCAGAAUUCACACUUGCUUAAUUUUCCAUACAAUUACUUUUCUCGUAGUAUUUGCAAAAUAAUCCGGAGAUGUUGCCCAUGAUCUUUUUCUGACUUGGAAUACACCAAAAUAUCGUCGAUAAAAACUAUUACGAACUGAUCCAAGUAUGGCUGAAAAAUCUGAUUCAUAAGAUCCAUAAAAGUAGCAGGGGCAUUUGUUAGUCCAAAUGGCAUUACUAAGAAUUCAUAAUGCCCAUACCUCGUACGAAAUGCCGUUUUCAAUAUGUCGCACUCUUUUACUUUCAACUGAUAGUAUCCCAACCUCAGAUCAGUCUUUGAAAAUACGGAAGCUCCUUUCAGUUGAUCAAACAAAUCAUCUAUUCGGGGAAGUGGAUACUUGUUCUUGACAGUCAAUUUGUUGAGUUGUCGAUAAUCAAUGCACAACCGCAUCGACCCAUCUUUCUUCUUAACAAAUAACAUUGGAGAUCCCCAUGGUGAUGUACUAGGUCGUAUAAAACCUCUGUCCAAUAAGUCUUGCAAUUGUAUUUUUAAUUCCUUUAGCUCAGUAGGUGCCAUACGGUACGGAGGUAUCGAUACCGGAUCUGUACCUGGGUAGACUUCAAUCACAAAUUCUACCUCUCGAUCAGGGGGUAAUCUAGGUAAUUCCUCAGGGAAUAAAUCAGAAAAUUCACAUACAGUCCGAAUUUUACUACACUGACUUUCAACUGAAUCCGAAUUAAUCACAUAUGCUAAGAAAUCAUUACAACCUCGAUAAAGAAGCUUGCUAGCUUUAAUGGCCGAAACAAUACGAAUUGAUCCAUUAGUUCGAAUACCAUUUACUUCAAUCGUAUCUUCACUUUUAUUCUGAACAAUAAACUUCUUUUUAUAACAGUCUAAAAUCACUCCAUGUUCUGAUAACCAGUCCAUUCCCAAAAUAACAUCAAAGUUUCCAAAUGGCAUAAUAAAAAAAUCAACAUGGAAUAUUCUAUCUUGAAUCAUUAACGAACAUCUUCGACAUAUAUGGUUCACUAAAGUAGUUUGUCCCAGUGGACUAGACACUUCUAUCAUAACUUUAGACAAUUCAGACUCUAAUUUUUUUGUCUCAACUACUUUCGUAUUAACAUAUAAAUGUAAUGACCCAGGGUCUAUUAAAGCAUAAACGGGUUCUGAAUUCAAUAAGAAUAUACCUAUCACCACAUCUUGAGCAUCUUUCUCUUCUCGAGUCCUCACAACAUACGCUCGAGCUGGAGCUCUAGCUUCAGAUUGUUGUGUAGCACUCUCACUAGUUCUUCUAGUACCACCUCUAGCAAACGAACUACUUCGGCCUGAUCCUCGGCCUCUGGAAGCAAAUUCAGAUCUUUGCACUACUAUCGGUGUUGUUCCAGAUAUCUUUGGGCAAUCUUUAAUAAAGUGAUCGGUAGCUCCACAACGGAAACAACCUCCAGUCAACUUUCUACAUUCCUCUUUGUGUCGAUUUCUACAAUGUUCACAUAUUGGAAUUUCAGUAUUCUGAACUGGACUUCGGAUACUGCCAGUAGAUACAGUAGUCUGUCUUUUCCGACCUCGAUCACUUCUUUCCAAUCGAGAACUAAAUCUCCAAUUACCUCGUGAUUCCUUUGACCGCUUAGGCUGCGGACUUGAACUAACCAUUCCGGGACGUUUUUCAGUUGAACGAGCAACUUCAGACUUUUUAUCCCUUCCGAGAAUUUAUUUAAUCAUCUUAGCUCUUUCCAUUAAAUCCGCAAACUCAGUGAUUCUAAGAGGCAUCAACUGUAGUCUAAAUUCAUCACGUAAUCCUCUUAAAAAUCUUUUACAUCGGUCGGCUUCAGCCGGUACAAACUCAGUGGCAUAUCUGCUCAAUCUCAGAAAUUCUCGUUCAUAAUCCACUAUAAGCAUCUCACCUUGUUUCAGUGUUAAGAACUCUUGUCUUUUGUCCUCUAUGUACAUUUCUCCCAAAUACUUAUUUUGGAACUCUUUUUGAAAGAAGUCCCAACUUAUCUGUUCCUCAAGUACAUUCUAAAUCACAGAUUCCCACCAUACUAAAGCUUCCUCUUGCAGUAGUGAGACAACACACACUAAGCUUUCUUGUGGUGUACAUUCAAGUUCCUUCAGAACUCUCUUUGUAGUCUUUAACCAAUUUUCAGCAGUAGUCGAAUCAAUUCUCUUUGCACCCAAAAAUUUUGUAGCUCCAUAUUUUCUCAAUUCUUUAAUUGGAGCUCUUCGGGUAGUAGGGAUAGAGGACGUAGCAAGCAUAGUUCCUACCACUUUUUGAAGGGCAUCGGCGAUUAUUCUAAAGACUUCAGUAUUAUCACUUCCAACAUUCGGUUGAUUUCCUACUGGAUUCACACUUGGAGUUGCAGACUCCGAUUCAUUCACAUUAUACGGUUCAUUAUCUUCACUAUACAUCUCUUGAUCAGUAUCCUCAAUGCUUUUAUCAGACAUUCUUAAUGCUAUAAAACAAAAAUAUUCAACAAACAUAUCAGCAUCCAAUCCCAACUCAAAUUUGACUCAGUAAUGGCAUGUACCUCUAGAUUCACAUUGACAUUCGAUUUUGUCCUAGAACCGACUAAACCUAACUAGCUCUGAUACCAAUCAAUAUUGUAACGUCCCCUACCCGAGACCGUUGCCGGAGUCAAGCAGGAGACAUUACAAAACUUAUCUUAGCACUUAAACAGUUUUCGUAGUAAACUAUCCAUCUGCGUCAUGAUUGCUAAAAAAAUUAUAUCUCGAGUUACGAAACUCGAAAUCUAAUUCCGUAAAUUUUUCCUAAAACUAGACUCACAUAUCUACUUACUAAUUUUUUUCUAGAAUUUUUUGUCAGGCAAAUUAGUACAGUUUAUUAGAAAAAGUCUCCCCUAUUUUAGGGUUCAGCUACUCUGACCCUUGUGCACCACGAAUAAAAUUUCUUCCUGUACAGAAAUACAAUGACUAUGCCAUUUAUUUAAAUUAAAAAUAGACUCAAUAAUGAAUCCAUACAUAUAAAGUUUGAGUCCUAAUUCUUAAUACACAAUUUAUGGUGAAUUUCUAAAGUCAAAACAGGGAAUCUAGAAAUUACUCUAACCCUGUUUCACCAAAACGUAAAUAUCUCAUAAAAUAAAACUCUUUUACCUAUUUUGUUUCUUCCAUAUAAAAAUAGAUUCAUUAAGCUUCAAUUACAUAUUUUAUUCAUCAUCUAAUUCACUUUAUACUAUUUUUGGUAUAUUUUCAAAGUUGGACUACUGUUACUGUCUAAAUAUGUUUUAGUAUAAAAUGUUGAUAACUAAGUUUAUAACAUCUUCAUUUCUUCUCUCUACAAUAUUUACUAACACUUCCUCUUAUUACUCUUCACUAACAUAUCAAAACAUACCAUACUUAAGGUUUUGGUAACAUUUACAAAACAUACCAAAAUAUCACUUAACAACUUAGAUACUUUCAAAAUGAUCAAAAGACAUCCUAGGUACAAUUCCAUUUUCCAAAAAGAUAGAAACUUCACCAAUUUGAGUUCGGGGAUCGGCUUGUAUGCUGAGUCCUUAUACUUUCGUACCUAGCCUGCGCAUGGAAACAAACCGUACGCUGAGAAUACUCUCAGUGGUAUUUCUAUA
RNAcentral lists this long non-coding RNA (7531 nucleotides) under Gossypium barbadense (sea-island cotton). RNAcentral describes it as "long non-coding RNA (GBAR_LNC008727)". Lineage: Eukaryota; Viridiplantae; Streptophyta; Magnoliopsida; Malvales; Malvaceae. The record is from RNAcentral.